CCUGACCCAGCGACGCCGCGUGGGUGAAGAAGGCCUUCGGGUUGUAAAGCCCUGUCACGGGGGACGAUAGUGACGGUACCCUGGGAGGAAGCCCCGGCUAACUACGUGCCAGCAGCCGCGGUAACACGUAGGGGGCGAGCGUUGUCCGGAAUUACUGGGCGUAAAGGGCGCGUAGGCGGUUAGCCGUGUCAGGUGUGAAAGGCUGGGGCUUAACCCCAGACCUGCACUUGAGACUGGCUAACUUGAGGGCAGGAGAGGCAGGUGGAAUUCCUGGUGUAGCGGUGAAAUGCGUAGAUAUCAGGAGGAACACCGGUGGCGAAGGCGACCUGCUGGACUGGCCCUGACGCUGAGGCGCGAAAGCGUGGGGAGCGAACAGGAUUAGAUACCCUGGUAGUCCACGCUGUAAACGAUGGGUACUAGGUGUAGGGGGUUAUGAUACCCUCUGUGCCGUAGCUAACGCGAUAAGUACCCCGCCUGGGGAGUACGGCCGCAAGGUUGAAACUC
This 504-nucleotide ribosomal RNA is filed under the name uncultured Bacillota bacterium. RNAcentral describes it as "bacterial SSU rRNA". It matches the Rfam family "Bacterial small subunit ribosomal RNA", at positions 382 to 902 of the family's 1533-position model. Lineage: Bacteria; Bacillati; Bacillota. The record is from RNAcentral.